GAGCACCUACGGGGCGCAGCAGUGGGGAAUAUUGCACAAUGGGGGAAACCCCGAUGCAGCAACGCCGCGUGAAGGAAGACGGUUUUCGGAUUGUAAACUUCUGUUCUUAGUGAAGAAUAAUGACGGUAGCUAAGGAGCAAGCCACGGCUAACUACGUGCCAGCAGCCGCGGUAAUACGUAGGGGGCAAGCGUUAUCCGGAUUUACUGGGUGUAAAGGGAGCGUAGACGGCGUGCCAAGUCUGAUGUGAAAGGCCGGGGCUCAACCCCGGGACUGCAUUGGAAACUGGCAUGCUGGAGUGCCGGAG
RNAcentral lists this ribosomal RNA (305 nucleotides) under uncultured bacterium. RNAcentral's name for it is "bacterial SSU rRNA". It matches the Rfam family "Bacterial small subunit ribosomal RNA", at positions 334 to 654 of the family's 1533-position model. The record is from RNAcentral.